This is a long non-coding RNA of Xiphias gladius (swordfish), 1871 nucleotides long. RefSeq lists it as uncharacterized. The record is from RefSeq and is a predicted model, not a curated record. Lineage: Eukaryota; Metazoa; Chordata; Actinopteri; Istiophoriformes; Xiphiidae. The transcript has 9 exons.
UUGCGUAUGACGAAAGUCUCGACAGAACGACGGAAGCCUCGACGGCAACUGCGCUCACGUGGAUCCCGCGAAAUAUGACAGAUAAAGUAGCUUGAAAGACAGCCCUUUUCACAGAUGACCGACGGCCACACAGACCUGAGACUUGGUGGUUGUGUGUUCUCAGGACAACAGGACAACAUAGAGGAGAACCCGUAGGUGAAGAAGGUAUCUGACAAGAUCUGUCACUCAGUACUGUUGUGGCGCCGCGUGCUACUCAAGGCAAGUUACAGGUGUCAACAUAGGGUGAAUGUGAAAGCUGUAAGCAGCAGCAGAACAUUUAACGUGUUGUUGUCAAGCUAAAAUGCUUGUGACUUUGAAGAGUGCCGGUGGGGAGAAGAGCAAGAGCACUUUGGAGGUGUAUGUAGAGCAAGGAGAGUGGUGUGGACCACAGUGACAGACCAACUCUAUUCACAAUGGUCAAAGAAAUUUUGUACAUGGCAAGAGUACCCAUUCAGGAAUUACAUUAAACAGCUGUACAACCGAAGGGAGUGUCCGUAUAACUGCCUUAAUAACUGACUGACAUUAGGUUAAAUAGACACUCUUCUCACCAGAGGAAACAACACCAACAAUUUUGUGGAAGUGCGAGUCCUCAAGGACAAGAUACUGCAGAGGACAAAGGCCUUAAAUCCUCCUCAGAUCUUCGACCUCCUGACAUCAAGGCUGGAGAUCUACUACGAGACAUGCAUUGUUGAUGUUGCCCUUGGAGGCUCGAAAUCAUUCCAGAAAUCCAGAUUCCUUCCCCAAGAUGGCAACAUUACAGCAUCGCAAAUUCAGCAGAUUGAGUAGUAGAAGCUCGUGGUGAUGAUGUCCACACAAACCUAUGUUGUGGAUGUGGAGCUGGAGCUGUGUUCAUGCCCUGCAGGACAAACUGGGGCACCAUGCAAAUGUCAGGCAGCUGUUGCUAAAAUCUACAGCUGUUUGUCCAACACUUUCCUUCCAAGUUGUACUGACAGGACAACAGGCCCAACCCUCCACAAGUGCUGCUGCUGAUAGGCUACAAGAAGAUAUCACAUUCAGGUGUUGUGUCUUUGUGGAGGACAUCAUGGAGGAUAUGAAAAGAUGCUCUCUUCACUGCUGGGCUAAUGGCAAUGAAUAGGCAGUACCAGCACAAAGACCAACCCCUACAAACUGCUGUCGGCCAUUCACACUUUUUGUAGAUCUUUGAACAGCAAAAGGGCUGCCACAUUAAGGCUGGCUGCCAGGCAUCAAGACCCAAUGAUUGGCUGCCAGCCUACUGCUGAGGCACGCAGCAAGUCGGGUUCUGGCUCAAAGAGGUGUCUUUCAGCUGGGCGCCCUUUGAAACAGCACAGCUUGAGUACAUCAGUGGCUUUGAACAUCACCCUUUCCAAAAAACACUGAGGAACUCCACCUCCUCUCAUCCCUCUCCUUAAAAGCAGGUCAUUGGGUUUAGAUGUCCUCUACCCCCUCUCAUCCCUCUCCUUAGAGGUAGGACAUUGAGAGAGGAGUGAGAGGGGGAGGAAGGGCAUCAGAAAUCAACUUUCAUUCAUAUUAACUUCUUAAAAGUUUAAAAACUGAGUAAAAUUUGUACUAACUGCAAAGUGCACAGCAUCUUUGUAAAAGAGUUAGCUUAGUUACCGUUUGACUUUUACAUUUUUCUAAAUUUUUGUGUUGCAUGUUUCUAUUUGGCCACUUUACACUGAACAAAAUAGUGGGAAAUCACUGACAGACAAGGUCAGUUGAGGAUAGAGUGCACUUACAUCAUACACGCAUUGUAAAUUAAUUUGGUUGUUGCAAAUUAUGUCACAGAAAUUUAGGUUGCAGCAAGUUUCAUCUUAUUUAUCUUAAUUUUAUAUUGUGUGCAAUUAACAUAU